Molecule: ribosomal RNA, 253 nt
Filed under: uncultured bacterium
Lineage: Bacteria
Description: partial 16S ribosomal RNA
Rfam family: Bacterial small subunit ribosomal RNA
Source: RNAcentral
UACGUAGGGUGCAAGCGUUGUUCGCAAUCACUGGGCGUAAAGGGCGCGUAGUCGGCGUUUUAAGUCGGGGGUGAAAGCCUGUGGCUCAACCACAGAAUGGCCUUCGAUACUGGGACGCUUGAGUAUGGUAGAGGUUGGUGGAACUGCGAGUGUAGAGGUGAAAUUCGUAGAUAUUCGCAAGAACACCGGUGGCGAAGGCGGCCAACUGGACCAUUACUGACGCUGAGGCGCGAAAGCGUGGGGAGCAAACAGG